UACGUAGGGUGCAAGCGUUGUCCGGAAUUAUUGGGCGUAAAGAGCUCGUAGGCGGUCUGUCGCGUCUGCUGUGAAAACCUGGGGCUUAACCCCGGGCCUGCAGUGGGUACGGGCAGACUAGAGUGCGGUAGGGGAGACUGGAAUUCCUGGUGUAGCGGUGAAAUGCGCAGAUAUCGGGAAGAACACCCGUGGCGAAGGCGGUUCUCUGGGCCGAUACUGACGCUGAGGAGCGAAAGCGUGGGGAGCGAACAGG
RNAcentral lists this ribosomal RNA (253 nucleotides) under uncultured bacterium. Its description in RNAcentral is "partial 16S ribosomal RNA". It matches the Rfam family "Bacterial small subunit ribosomal RNA", at positions 524 to 776 of the family's 1533-position model. The record is from RNAcentral.